Molecule: long non-coding RNA, 1247 nt
Filed under: Equus caballus (horse)
Lineage: Eukaryota; Metazoa; Chordata; Mammalia; Perissodactyla; Equidae
Description: lncRNA (ENSECAG00000056900.1)
Source: RNAcentral
GGUUAAUUGGGUUCGGAAGGGGGCGGGGCACGGCAGCCUACCGCAGGGGCCAAUCGAAGGCCUAGAAAGCCCCAUAUGCAAAUGUGAGGGCCAGGAGGACCCCAAGUUAGGAGGAGGGCGGGUGGUGGUUAGGGCUCGUCUGGCGGCCAGUGGGAGCACGUCUCCUUAAUCCUUCGAGGAGGGGCCCGCGAGUGUGGUUGGAGCGGUACAGCGCAGCGGGGCGAGACCGGGGAGUGGGAAACGCGGGGGGGGGCCAGUAUUUCCCCAGGGUCUCCUCCCUGGCUGGGGAGAUGCUCCAGUGCCUGCCUUUGGAAGGCGAGGAAGGGACGGACUCAGAAGAGAGGGAGGACAGUACCAUAGAAGAUCCGAAAGAAAUCGUCACCCUCGCUUUUGUCAGACAGAACACUGGGAUGCAAAAGGGGCUUCAGAAUGCCCAGCAGGAAGGCAAGAAGAAGAGGAAGAAAAAGAGGUUAGGAUUGAAAGAUGGGGAAUGGGGAUCCAUGUUGGCGAGAGCAGGAGGGACCUGGAGGGAAGGAGGCCUAAGCUGCUAAUAGGAGGGUCAAGGAGAAACCGUGCGCUGACUGUCAAAAUCACACCUCGUUCGGUUCGUAUAAAAAGAACCACUUUUGAUGAUCUGUUUUGUAGAAUCAAAUACUGAUAUGUAUAAUCUAAAACUACACCUUGUCCUCAUCUUCAUUUUGCUUGUGUUUAUAAUGCCUCCUUUUUUUUAAUUGUGUGGGGAGAGACGAUGUCCUUGUUUUAGGAAGUGCUUAUUAUCGCGGGAAUUCAAUAUACUGUAAAUAUAACAGGACUAUGCGACUUCUUAGGAUCUGACUGCAGCUUCUACAUUCCAGUUCUUAUUUAAUAUUUUUCUAUACCUUGCUCCGUUUUUGGGGGAAAUGAAUCACUCCUCAGACUGAUGGAUGUCUGAAAGCUUGUCUACUUUCUAACUCACAGAUUCCCUUAAUGGGGUGGCAAGAGGAGGGAGACCAUUAAGUAUUUUCCCCAAAAAGACGUUCACUUCCUGUUUUUGAGGGGCCACUGGAGUAAAAGGAUUGAGGAGGCGAUGACGUUAACGUGAAGCUGCAAGCAAAAUUAGCUGCAACAGCAAGACGGAAUUUCUACCUCACGGGCAGAGUAAUAGUACUCUGAGCCCACGUUUUCUGCCGCUUGGCAACCCUUUGAAUCUGUGUCCUCAGUGUCAGGGACCGUCAGACCAGGCGGAAGUGAGGCUGGUUAGGUUCCAU